GUUUGUGUCCAAAACGGACGUUGAUUAGAGAAGCUCAAGAUCGGACGUCGAUUAGAAAAUGCCAAAAAAAAAAGGACGUCGAUUAGAUAGACAUAAAAUUGGCCGUCGAUUUGGAAUGUUAUUUCAUUGUGACGUCAGAUUUGGACGUCGAUUUGAGGAACGGACGUCGAUAAGAGACCGGACGUCGACCUGAGUCUUACA
RNAcentral lists this long non-coding RNA (201 nucleotides) under Mytilus galloprovincialis (Mediterranean mussel). Lineage: Eukaryota; Metazoa; Mollusca; Bivalvia; Mytilida; Mytilidae. The record is from RNAcentral.